RNAcentral lists this long non-coding RNA (406 nucleotides) under Mytilus galloprovincialis (Mediterranean mussel). Lineage: Eukaryota; Metazoa; Mollusca; Bivalvia; Mytilida; Mytilidae. The record is from RNAcentral.
GUUCAUUUAUAAUAUUGAAAUGUUAAUUAUACCCCAUGCAACGAGUUGCGGAGGGUAUAAUGUUUUUGACCUGUUCGUCUGUCCGUCAGUCCUGUUUUUAGCUCACCUGGCCCGAAGGGCCAUGUGAGCUUUUCUCAUCACUUGGCGUCCGGCGUCCAUCGUCCGUCGUCCGUCGUCGUCGUCCGUCGUUAACUUUUACAAAAAUCUUCUCCUCUGAAACUGCUGGACCAAAUUAAACCAAACUUGGCCACAAUUAUCAUUGGGGUAUCUAGUUUAAAAAUUGUGUCCGGUGACCCGCCCAACCAACCAAGAUGGCCGCCAUGGCUAAAAAUAGAACAUAGGGGUAAAAUGCAGUUUUUGGCUUAUAACUCAAAAACCAAAGCAUUUAGAGCAAAUCUGACAUGGG